Molecule: long non-coding RNA, 831 nt
Organism: Ceratitis capitata (Mediterranean fruit fly)
Lineage: Eukaryota; Metazoa; Arthropoda; Insecta; Diptera; Tephritidae
Exons: 3
Source: RefSeq, a predicted model, not a curated record
AUAAAAAAGUUUUCUAAUCCAAUCAUGAGUGUUUUUUAUUUACCUCCUACAAGGAGUUGUUUUUAUAAAUUUUGGAUUUUUACAGCAUCUUGGCAAUGCUACACAAACUGUUAGCCAACCAACAAGAGAGCGGUCAAGCGAGCGCGUUAGCAACGUUAAGGUAUAAAAUGAAUUUAAAAAUAAAACAUUGAUUAUCUUUGCUACGGAAUUUUUUUUUUAAACUUCUUAUAUUUUUUUUAAUUUUCAGUACUCAAAUUUCAUUGUCAACGACACUUCAUAAAAUUUGUCGACUUAUUAUUUCAAUAUAUUUUUCGACGUUGCUUACUACUUAACGUGCUUAAAAACACCAUUAAAUCAAAUUAUUUUUAGGCAAAAUCAGUCGUUUUAAUGUUUAUUCUCUAAUUAGUCAGUUCAUUUUCUGACUUAUACUGAAAUUAGUUAAAUCAUUUGCACUCCAGAGGCGGCGUUGGACAUACAUAAAUUAUAACACUUUUAUACAACAAUCGAAUUUAACCUAUAUUAAUAUUCAGCCUCGACAAAUAAUCGAGCUCGCUCAUCCAUUGGACCAAAUAAUAGUAAAACUUGUGAGUUAGAAGCUUGAGAAUUUAACCGUGGUAAGGCAUGGCUGUCGCAAGAGGCGACUAAAAUCCGAGAGUUAAUGCGAUAGUCGAGAACGACUGUUACUACCGCAAUAUUUCUCAAAAAUCAAUUCCGGGAAUCUUUUGUGUUUGAGAACAACAACAACAACAAAUAGCAGACACUGCAUUCUCUUACAUUUUAGUAUGGAUUUUGGUUAAAACGCUGCAUUGGACUUUACAAAAAACCGCUAUG